CCUACGGGAGCCAGCAGUGAGGAAUAUUGGUCAAUGGACGAGAGUCUGAACCAGCCAAGUAGCGUGAAGGAUGACUGCCCUAUGGGUUGUAAACUUCUUUUAUAUGGGAAUAAAAUGUUCCACGUGUGGGAUUUUGUAUGUACCAUAUGAAUAAGGAUCGGCUAACUCCGUGCCAGCAGCCGCGGUAAUACGGAGGAUCCGAGCGUUAUCCGGAUUUAUUGGGUUUAAAGGGAGCGUAGGUGGAUUGUUAAGUCAGUUGUGAAAGUUUGCGGCUCAACCGUAAAAUUGCAGUUGAAACUGGCAGUCUUGAGUACAGUAGAGGUGGGCGGAAUUCGUGGUGUAGCGGUGAAAUGCUUAGAUAUCACGAAGAACUCCGAUUGCGAAGGCAGUUCACUGGACUGCAACUGACACUGAGGCUCGAAAGUGUGGGUAUCAAACAGGAUUAGAUACCCGAGUAGUC
Molecule: ribosomal RNA, 460 nt
Filed under: uncultured bacterium
Lineage: Bacteria
Description: partial 16S ribosomal RNA
Rfam family: Bacterial small subunit ribosomal RNA
Source: RNAcentral